Molecule: long non-coding RNA, 511 nt
Filed under: Panax ginseng (ginseng)
Lineage: Eukaryota; Viridiplantae; Streptophyta; Magnoliopsida; Apiales; Araliaceae
Description: long non-coding RNA (PGIN_LNC009887)
Source: RNAcentral
UAGCAGGACAAGUCAUUCUAGUUUUUUAAUACAAAAAUAACAGUAGAUUCUUGUAUAACAAUGUAUAAUAUAAUAUUCAAUUAUUUACAGAGUUAUUGCUGCAAUCAAGUUAAAGGACAAAGCAAUUAACAGAAUAAUAAUGUAUGACACUCGUACAAUGAAAGGAUAACAUAAAGUAGAUCUAAAAGCCAAACUUACAAAUAGUGAAGGGUUGAUAUUCUGCUAAGAUCAGGUACAGCUCGCAAACUGCAAUUUCUAAUACUUAUACAUACUAAUUUAUAAUCGGAUUACAACAAGAUGCAAUUAAUUUAUAAUCGGAUUACGAUUGCCUCACAGGUACUAUAUACAACAUUCUCAUCAGUUUGUAAGUUUCCCAUGUUUUGACCUUCAAUCACCGUUUCAAUUCCAGGACUACACAGAUAAAAAUAAACAAAGUACUCAUCCUCCUACCAGUAAAAGGUAAAAAAACAGCAAAAAUAAUGAAAACUUCACCUUAAAUAUUGAGAUCCAC